RNAcentral lists this ribosomal RNA (490 nucleotides) under uncultured bacterium. RNAcentral's name for it is "bacterial SSU rRNA". It matches the Rfam family "Bacterial small subunit ribosomal RNA", at positions 28 to 524 of the family's 1533-position model. The record is from RNAcentral.
GAUGAACGCUAGCGGGAGGCUUAAUACAUGCAAGUCGCACGGCAGCAUUGAUAUAGUAAUAUAUUAGAUGGCGAGUGGCGCACGGGUGAGUAACGCGUACACAACCUACCCUUAAGAGGGGGAUAACUCAGAGAAAUUUGGGAUAAUACCCCAUAAUAUCGGAGAUAUGCAUAUAUUUUUGAUUAAAGUUACGGCGCUUAAGGAUGGGUGUGCGUUAGAUUAGGUAGUUGGUGAGGUAAUGGCUCACCAAGCCGACGAUCUAUAAGGGGCGUGAGAGCGUGGUCCCUCACACGGGUACUGAGACACGGACCCGACUCCUACGGGAGGCAGCAGUGGGGAAUAUUGCACAAUGGGCGAAAGCCUGAUGCAGCAACGCCGCGUGAGGGAUGACGGCCUUGGGUUGUAAACCUCUUUCAGUAGGGAAGAAGCGAAAGUGACGGUACCUACAGAAGAAGCACCGGCUAACUACCGUGCCAGCAGCCGCGGUAAU